This 439-nucleotide ribosomal RNA is filed under the name uncultured bacterium. RNAcentral's name for it is "partial 16S ribosomal RNA". It matches the Rfam family "Bacterial small subunit ribosomal RNA", at positions 339 to 795 of the family's 1533-position model. The record is from RNAcentral.
CUACGGGUGGCACCAGUGAGGAAUAUUGCACAAUGGGGGGAACCCUGAUGCAGCAACGCCGCGUGGAGGAUGACGCAUUUCGGUGUGUAAACUCCCUUUAUAUGUCAAGAAAAUGACGGUAGCAUAUGAAUAAGCACCGGCUAACUCCGUGCCAGCAGCCGCGGUAAUACGGAGGGUGCAAGCGUUACUCGGAAUCACUGGGCGUAAAGGACGCGUAGGCGGGUUGGAAAGUCAGGUGUGAAAUCCUACAGCUUAACUGUAGAACUGCACUUGAAACUUCUAAUCUAGAGUAUGGGAGGGGGAGAUGGAAUUAGUGGUGUAGGGGUAAAAUCCGUAGAUAUCACUAGGAAUACCUAAAGCGAAGGCGAUCUCCUGGAACAUUACUGACGCUAAGGCGUGAAAGCGUGGGGAGCAAACAGGAUUAGAUACCCUUGUAGUC